GACGUAGGGCGCGAGCGUUGUCCGGAUUUAUUGGGCGUAAAGAGCUCGUAGGCGGCUUGUUGCGUCGGCUGUGAAAGCCCGGGGCUUAACUCCGGGUCUGCAUUCGAUACGGGCAGGCUAGAGUUCGGUAGGGGAGAUCGGAAUUCCUGGUGUAGCGGUGAAAUGCGCAGAUAUCAGGAGGAACACCGGUGGCGAAGGCGGAUCUCUGGGCCGAUACUGACGCUGAGGAGCGAAAGCGUGGGGAGCGAGCAGG
This 253-nucleotide ribosomal RNA is filed under the name uncultured bacterium. RNAcentral describes it as "partial 16S ribosomal RNA". It matches the Rfam family "Bacterial small subunit ribosomal RNA", at positions 524 to 776 of the family's 1533-position model. The record is from RNAcentral.